This 207-nucleotide ribosomal RNA is filed under the name uncultured Armatimonadota bacterium. RNAcentral's name for it is "uncultured Armatimonadetes bacterium partial 16S ribosomal RNA". It matches the Rfam family "Bacterial small subunit ribosomal RNA", at positions 568 to 774 of the family's 1533-position model. Lineage: Bacteria; Bacillati; Armatimonadota. The record is from RNAcentral.
CGCGUAGGCGGGCUAUUAAGUUGGGGUGAAAUUCCGAGGCUUAACUUCGGAACUGCCUUCAAAACUAGGUAGCCUUGAGGUAUGGAGAGGGAAGUGGAAUUCCAGGUGUAGCGGUGAAAUGCGUAGAUAUCUGGAGGAACACCCGUGGCGAAGGCGGCUUCCUGGUCAUAUCCUGACGCUGAGGUGCGAAAGCUAGGGGAGCGAACG